UACAUGUGUAUACGAAUCAUAUGUGUGUGACUAUUACGUCUAGAAAUAACAUUCUAUGAAGAUCAGAUUUGUAUGCGUUUUAAUUACAACGAAAUUAUUUCGUAUAUAAGUUACUGUAACAACUGUUCUGGAGUUUAAUACACAUAUACUUUAAAGGCUCGAAGAAUGUUCAACAUCGCGUUCGUGUAACGUUUUGUGGUGACGUACCAAGUUAUUUCGUCUGCUUAGUUCGUAUCGCAUCGAUCACACGAGUCAGUACAUGUGACGUCAGUAAAGCGAAUAAGUUCGUUCAACUUUGACAACGACACAAUCCUUGAUUAUUCGAUUAAAGAAAACAUGUGCUUUCUGCGUGCAAAAGUAGCGAUCCUUCUUCUGGUAUAUUUUUUGAGAAACAACGUCUCUACGGUGAAGAUUGAAGUUUCCUCGAACAUUCAGUAUGGCCAGGAAGUAAACUUAACAUGCGUCAUCAACAGUUCUUUCCAAUUCAAUUUUACAAGUACGAAACAACGCACGAUAACCAUAGGAGGGUGUCCGUCGCCGCCAGAUACGAAUUGUUUUUUGUUCCCUGAAAUACUGAAUACGAGUUAUAAGAUAGUGGCAGUUUCGAAAGGUGGUGUAUUGACCAUAUUUAGUUGGAAAGAAGAAAAGUAUGGAGAGUACAUGUGCUUCAAUUUUUUAAAUAUCUCUCAAUUUGAUACUGUAUCACUACCACAACAAACCAGCGGAGGCCAUUCAUGUUUUCAUUGCAAUUGUGUAUUGUUUAUAUGCUUUUUAGCGCAUCUUUGCAAACGGUUUUUGCCAUCGCCAUUGGAUUGGCGUUCUCCAUCUUUGGUCAACAAAACAAUUUAAGACUAAUCUACACGCAACCAUUUUCCAUAUGUAAAUACGUUCGAUGUUAUUGAGAUUAGACCAUGUUUAAUUAUCAUAUAAUAUUCCAAUUUUAGGUCAUUUAAUUGUAUAUUAUUUUCGUGAAUUAAAUUAAGUUAACUUAA
This is a long non-coding RNA of Dreissena polymorpha, 992 nucleotides long. RefSeq lists it as uncharacterized. The record is from RefSeq and is a predicted model, not a curated record. Lineage: Eukaryota; Metazoa; Mollusca; Bivalvia; Myida; Dreissenidae. The transcript has 5 exons.